GACGAACGCUGGCGGUGUGCUUCACACAUGCAAGUCGAACGGGGUAGCAAUACCUAGUGGCGGACGGGUGAGUAACACGUGGGAAUCUACCAUUAGAUGGGGAAUAACAGGCCGAAAGGACUGCUAAUGCCGCAUAUGUAUGUGCCUCGACAGGGGCGAUAUAUGAAAGGAGUAAUACCGUCUGAUGAUGAGCCGCGUCCGAUUAGCUAGUGUAGGGUAAAAGCCUACCAAGGCGACGAUUCGGUAGGUGGUCUGAGAGGAUGAAUACAACCCACAAUGGGACUGAGACACGGCCCAUUACUCCUACGGGAGGCAGCAG
RNAcentral lists this ribosomal RNA (319 nucleotides) under uncultured bacterium. RNAcentral's name for it is "bacterial SSU rRNA". It matches the Rfam family "Bacterial small subunit ribosomal RNA", at positions 28 to 354 of the family's 1533-position model. The record is from RNAcentral.